CGAUCACUCAUGCAAAUCAGAGUAAAGCCCUUUUGAAAGAGUUUGAUAACUUCUAAUGCUGAGUUGUUUAUGGGAGCAGCAGUGAUAGGAAACAUAGCUGAAUACGCACAGAAAGGUUCAAGGAACCUUAGUUCAUAUGCAGAUUCUGAAACUAUAACAUAGACAAAUGUGUUGUUCCCGGUUAGGCAAGAAACUGGCAAAUACAUGUCGUUCUUGAUCAUCCUCGUACAAUUCACAAAACUAGCCCAUAACUGUCCCGCUGAAUAGUAUCCCGCCCCUUCCAACAUAGAGUAUGACAGAGAAUGGGG
This 308-nucleotide long non-coding RNA is filed under the name Phoenix dactylifera (date palm). Its description in RNAcentral is "long non-coding RNA (PDAC_LNC022306)". Lineage: Eukaryota; Viridiplantae; Streptophyta; Magnoliopsida; Arecales; Arecaceae. The record is from RNAcentral.